CCUUCGGGUUGUAAAGCUCUGUCGGAGGGGACGAAAAGCUUUGAGGUUAAUAGCCUCAGAGUCUGACGGUACCCUCAAAGGAAGCACCGGCUAACCUCGUGC
Molecule: ribosomal RNA, 102 nt
Filed under: uncultured bacterium
Lineage: Bacteria
Description: partial 16S ribosomal RNA
Source: RNAcentral